GACGAACGCUGGCGGCGUGCCUAAUACAUGCAAGUAGAACGCUGAAGGAGGAGCUUGCUUCUCCGGAUGAGUUGCGAACGGGUGAGUAACGCGUAGGUAACCUGCCUGGUAGCGGGGGAUAACUAUUGGAAACGAUAGCUAAUACCGCAUAACAGUAGAUGUUGCAUGACAUUUGCUUAAAAGGUGCAAUUGCAUCACUACCAGAUGGACCUGCGUUGUAUUAGCUAGUUGGUGAGGUAACGGCUCACCAAGGCGACGAUACAUAGCCGACCUGAGAGGGGGAUCGGCCAAACUGGGACUGAGACACGGCCCAGACUCCUACGGGAGGCAGCAGUAGGGAAUCUUCGGCAAUGGACGGAAGUCUGACCGAGCAACGCCGCGUGAGUGAAGAAGGUUUUCGGAUCGUAAAGCUCUGUUGUAAGAGAAGAACGAGUGUGAGAGUGGAAAGUUCACACUGUGACGGUAUCUUACCAGAAAGGGACGGCUAACUACGUG
RNAcentral lists this ribosomal RNA (495 nucleotides) under uncultured bacterium. RNAcentral's name for it is "partial 16S ribosomal RNA". It matches the Rfam family "Bacterial small subunit ribosomal RNA", at positions 28 to 507 of the family's 1533-position model. The record is from RNAcentral.